UCAUCACAUAGGAUAAUCUUUACAUGUUCCUCUUUUUGGAAAGAUGAUUAGAGCAUGACGAUAAGCAUUCACAUGACUUCUGGUUAUUAACUCUGCCACUGUAAUCAGAA
RNAcentral lists this small nucleolar RNA (110 nucleotides) under Erinaceus europaeus (western European hedgehog). RNAcentral describes it as "U8 small nucleolar RNA (ENSEEUG00000022329.1)". It matches the Rfam family "U8 small nucleolar RNA". Rfam says of the family: U8 is a member of the C/D class of snoRNA which contain the C (UGAUGA) and D (CUGA) box motifs. The record is from RNAcentral. Lineage: Eukaryota; Metazoa; Chordata; Mammalia; Eulipotyphla; Erinaceidae.